This 301-nucleotide ribosomal RNA is filed under the name uncultured bacterium. Its description in RNAcentral is "partial 16S ribosomal RNA". It matches the Rfam family "Bacterial small subunit ribosomal RNA", at positions 509 to 809 of the family's 1533-position model. The record is from RNAcentral.
CAGCCGCCACGGUAAGACAGAGGAUGCAAGCGUUAUCCGGAAUGAUUGGGCGUAAAGCGUGCGUAGGCGGCUUUUUAAGUCGGAUGUGAAAUCCCUGAGCUUAACUUAGGAAUUGCAUUCGAUACUGGGAAGCUAGAGUAUGGGAGAGGAUGGUAGAAUUCCAGGUGUAGCGGUGAAAUGCGUAGAGAUCUGGAGGAAUACCGAUGGCGAAGGCAGCCAUCUGGCCUAAUACUGACGCUGAGGUACGAAAGCAUGGGGAGCAAACAGGAUUAGAUACCCCCGUAGUCCCUGUCUCUUAUAU